GACGAACGCUGGCGGCGUGCUUAACUCAUGCAAGUCGAACGGAAAGGCCCUGCUUUUGUGGGGUGCUCGAGUGGCGAACGGGUGAGUAACACGUGAGUAACCUGCCCUUGACUUUGGGAUAACUUCAGGAAACUGGGGCUAAUACCGGAUAGGAGCUCCUGCUGCAUGGUGGGGGUUGGAAAGUUUCGGCGGUUGGGGAUGGACUCGCGGCUUAUCAGCUUGUUGGUGGGGUAGUGGCUUACCAAGGCUUUGACGGGUAGCCGGCCUGAGAGGGUGACCGGCCACCUUGGGCCUGAGAUACGGCCCAGACUCCUACGGGAGGCAGCAGUGGGGAAUAUUGCACAAUGGGCGGAAGCCUGAUGCAGCAACGCCGCGUGCGGGAUGACGGCCUUCGGGUUGUAAACCGCUUUCGCCUGUGACGAAGCGUGAGUGACGGUAAUGGGUAAAGAAGCACCGGCUAACUACGUG
RNAcentral lists this ribosomal RNA (468 nucleotides) under uncultured bacterium. Its description in RNAcentral is "partial 16S ribosomal RNA". It matches the Rfam family "Bacterial small subunit ribosomal RNA", at positions 28 to 507 of the family's 1533-position model. The record is from RNAcentral.